Molecule: non-coding RNA, 240 nt
Organism: Vicia faba (fava bean)
Lineage: Eukaryota; Viridiplantae; Streptophyta; Magnoliopsida; Fabales; Fabaceae
Source: the annotation of a GenBank genome assembly
AUGACAUCACCUUUAUUCUCCUCUCAUACACUCAUUUUACUCAGCAAAAACGCAGCAAAAGCAUGGCCAUACACACAUGAAGCACACCAUCAGAACUCACUUUUUUUAUUAGAAGAAGAGCAGUGGACUCUUGUUCCACUUGAAGAUGGGUAUGUGGCGGAAUCUAAUUGGUUGGGGCAUUGCUUUUGUUUUAUUCAACUUAAAUGGGAAGGUGACCGAUUGAUAUCAUAUGUGACAUAG